This 1432-nucleotide ribosomal RNA is filed under the name uncultured organism. RNAcentral's name for it is "partial small subunit ribosomal RNA". It matches the Rfam family "Bacterial small subunit ribosomal RNA". The record is from RNAcentral.
CGUGCUUAACACAUGCAAGUCGAACGGAAAGGCCCUGCUUUUGUGGGGUGCUCGAGUGGCGAACGGGUGAGUAACACGUGAGUAACCUGCCCUUGACUUUGGGAUAACUUCAGGAAACUGGGGCUAAUACCGGAUAGGAGCUCCUGCUGCAUGGUGGGGGUUGGAAAGUUUCGGCGGUUGGGGAUGGACUCGCGGCUUAUCAGCUUGUUGGUGGGGUAGUGGCUUACCAAGGCUUUGACGGGUAGCCGGCCUGAGAGGGUGACCGGCCACAUUGGGACUGAGAUACGGCCCAGACUCCUACGGGAGGCAGCAGUGGGGAAUAUUGCACAAUGGGCGGAAGCCUGAUGCAGCAACGCCGCGUGCGGGAUGACGGCCUUCGGGUUGUAAACCGCUUUCGCCUGUGACGAAGCGUGAGUGACGGUAAUGGGUAAAGAAGCACCGGCUAACUACGUGCCAGCAGCCGCGGUGAUACGUAGGGUGCGAGCGUUGUCCGGAUUUAUUGGGCGUAAAGGGCUCGUAGGUGGUUGAUCGCGUCGGAAGUGUAAUUUUGGGGCUUAACCCUGAGCGUGCUUUCGAUACGGGUUGACUUGAGGAAGGUAGGGGAGAAUGGAAUUCCUGGUGGAGCGGUGGAAUGCGCAGAUAUCAGGAGGAACACCAGUGGCGAAGGCGGUUCUCUGGGCCUUUCCUAACGCUGAGGAGCGAAAGCGUGGGGAGCGAACAGGCUUAGAUACCCUGGUAGUCCACGCUGUAAACGGUGGGUACUAGGUGUGGGGUCCAUUCCACGGGUUCCGUGCCGUAGCUAACGCUUUAAGUACCCCGCCUGGGGAGUACGGCCGCAAGGCUAAAACUCAAAGGAAUUGACGGGGCCCCGCACAAGCGGCGGAGCAUGCGGAUUAAUUCGAUGCAACGCGUAGAACCUUACCUGGGUUUGACAUGGAUCGGGAGUGCUCAGAGAUGGGUGUGCCUCUUUUGGGGUCGGUUCACAGGUGGUGCAUGGCUGUCGUCAGCUCGUGUCGUGAGAUGUUGGGUUAAGUCCCGCAACGAGCGCAACCCUUGUUCACUGUUGCCAGCACGUUAUGGUGGGGACUCAGUGGAGACCGCCGGGGUCAACUCGGAGGAAGGUGGGGAUGACGUCAAGUCAUCAUGCCCCUUAUGUCCAGGGCUUCACGCAUGCUACAAUGGCUGGUACAGAGAGUGGCGAGCCUGUGAGGGUGAGCGAAUCUCGGAAAGCCGGUCUCAGUUCGGAUUGGGGUCUGCAACUCGACCUCAUGAAGUCGGAGUCGCUAGUAAUCGCAGAUCAGCAACGCUGCGGUGAAUACGUUCCCGGGACUUGUACACACCGCCCGUCAAGUCAUGAAAGUUGGUAACACCCGAAGCCGGUGGCCUAACCGUUGUGGGGGAGCCGUCGAAGGUGGGACUGGUGAUUAGGACU